This 6268-nucleotide long non-coding RNA is filed under the name Arabidopsis thaliana (thale cress). RNAcentral describes it as "long non-coding RNA (ATHA_LNC000074)". The record is from RNAcentral. Lineage: Eukaryota; Viridiplantae; Streptophyta; Magnoliopsida; Brassicales; Brassicaceae.
AACAACACCAAAGGUCACGUUUAUAUAGCAAAAAUCCAACACCCUUUUCCUAUCAAGAAUAUGUUUCUAAUAAGGAAUACCCCGAUCCGAAACCGACUUUAGCCAUAUUAUAAAGAAAAAUAAAAAAAAAGAACGAAUUACAUACGUGUUAUUGGUUACCGAUUUAAAUAGAGUUUUAGUAAUUUAAAAUAUUGUGGAGAAUCUGUUGUUAUUUAAUCAAGACUUUUAAAAAGUUUGUUAAAGUUAGGUGUUAAUAGUUUAAUAUUUGUAAAAAGUAAUCUAAAAUCUUCAUAAAUUUAGAGUUAUUGGAUUCAUACUUUUAUAAAAAUUCAUUAAAAGUUUGUUUCAAAUAAAAUAAAAGAAUUUAUGAUUGUUAAUGAAUUAAAUUAUUGUGUUAUUGGUUUAUGACUUUCUACGCUUUUCGUUAAAAAAAAUAAAGUCAUGAAAAAUAUCAUCAAAAUAGAGAGAUUGUUUGAAAAGCUAAUCAACAACAUUAUAGAAAAUUCUCAAACAAUAGUUUAGAAUUUUUGAUACUGACACCCAACUUCAACAAACUUUUUAAAGCCUUCAAAAUUCUUGGUAAUUUAAGAAUCAAUAACACACCAAAAAGAAAAGAAAAGACCAAAACAAUAACACUGACUUUAGCAAUAAAUUAAGUGUAAUGGGCCCAUAUCAAGAUGAACAAUGAUGCUUCCACAUGACCAGGGUUACUAACAUCCAGUUUAUAAUACAUUGUUUUGUACUAACUAAAGAGUUUGCAAACCCUUUAACCCUUCUAUGACCAGCGUUAAUAACAUCCAGUUAAGCGUUAAUAAUGAAGCUAAGGAAGGCUACUGUACAAGUUUCAAGGAGAGAAGGAUUGCUUGAAAUUCAUGACCAAUAACGAAUACAUGAUAUGUUACCAGUUACCACCAUUAUGUGAAAAUGUUACGUUAAGAACAAAUAUUUGGAUUGUUAAUUUAUUAAAAAUGAUGUUAAAGAAACAUUAGACUAACAUAGCUUAUUACUGAUUCAUGUCAACACCACAAACUCUCACAACUUGUCUUAUACUCUUAUUAGUAAAACCAUCAAUUCCAUUCCAUCUUUCUCUGUUUCGAUUCCCAUCCGUAACGUUUUCAUUUGGUCAGGCGAAAUUAUGUCAUGAUUUUGACUCAUUAGAGAAUUACCAAGUUCCUGAUUUUGGUAAGAAUAUAUAUAUAUAGAGACAACACCAACGACUUUUCAUACCAUAUUUUAAUCAUUUAGCAAUGACAAGUUGUGACUAGAUAUUUGAGAAUAAAGUGAAAAACAGAGUAAAUGUUACGAGGCUCUUGUUUUGAGUUAAUGUCAUAGAAGAGAUUGAAACAAGAAACUGAAGACAGAGGUAAAUCAUAUAUAGACGAUGUGCCGAAACUUAGAUGAAUCAAACUAACACACUUGCAUCAUUUUAUUAAGCAGAGCCACCAACUCGGGAUUCUCUAAUGCUGCAGUCACACGUUCUUUAUCCCCAAGUUGUUUAUUGACUGCAUUAUAACAUCAAUUUGAGGAUCAAAUUCAAAACAUUUACUUCCACUGCAACCAAAAAAUAAAAAUGAAAGUUUAUACCUGUCGUCUCUUUAUCAUGACUCCCUGGUGCUACUCUCACAUCAACCUGAGAUUUCAUUACAACAAAAUUAGCUUUAAGAUUACAAAGAAUAUUCUUAAUAAACAAAAAUUGAACACAACACAACAACAAUACCUUGAAUCUAGCAGGUAAGCUUUGCACAAGUUUGACUAAGAUGCAAAGACCAAUAUGGGUUGGCAAGUGACAAUGAGGAAGAGUUGGAGUGAAUGUAAUUCUGUAAAAAGAUAGCACAACUUAAUAGAUUGGAGUAAAGAGAAAAAGCUAUUAAUCACAACAUUUGUUUUUUCUUUUUACCUAACGUAACUCUUGUGAUCAUCAACUUCAACUGAUUCUUCAGUAAGAACAUUGAGAUCUUCCAAAGAAAGUUCAGGAUGCUCUGGAUCUUUGAUAUCUCUUAUACGAUUUGUAGACUGUUAAGGGAAACAAAAAAAAGAAGAUGAUCCAAUAACAAUAUAAACAUAACUACGAGAAAGUCAUUGUCUUAGUAAUGAAUAACAAAAAUUAAGGAUAUCAAAAAUCUCGAGCUGAUCAAUUGGUUCUACUGAAAACUCAUCGGUACUGCUCUGAUCAGUACGAUAACGCCGUGUUCUCUUCGGAUAAAUAAUUGGGUUCUUAUUGGUUAAUACAGAAUCCAUGUUUUUCUCUCCUGAACGCAUAAACCCUAACGAUCAAUUAGUAGAAAACCGAAGAAGCUUAUCGAAUGAGACGUGGGAGACCUCAAUAAACCUAAACCUAAAUAUAAUCUGAGUCAUGAAGUUAAUUAUACAAAUCAUAUAAAGGAAAUAUCGGGAAAUACUUAAACGGCGCCGUACUCUCGGUAAUGUAAUUCUCGUAUCCAAUUUUCGUUUUAAUUGUUUCCUUUUUUAAAAAGGAAUAUUUUCUUUUACAUAUACACUAUGGUUUUCCUAUUCGAAAAGUGAACUAAUAUGGUUAAUAAUAAUACAUGGUGGAUUAGGAAUGAUAAUUCCCUAUAUAAACACUUUAGGUGGUAUUGGCAAAAAAAAAAGAAGAAAACUUGAGGUGAGAUUGGUCGAGAUUUCUGGAUACAUAAAGAAGUUAACAGAAGGAACAAGCGCAAGAAAAGGCCAUCCAUACAACUAUCGCAAGUGUGCACUUCCAUAGCCAUGAAUGGAGAAGAGACGACACCUUUUAAAAGAAGACAGAUGACAAUUCUGAUGCUUCCUAAUGAUUUGCUAUUCAACUGCUUAGCCCGCAUCUCAAGAUUGUAUUAUCCAACUCUCUCGUUAGUCUCCACGAGAUUCCGCUCUCUCCUUGCUUCAACGGAACUUUAUCAAACCCGAACCCACCUGGGCCGCACCGAGAGAUGUCUUUAUGUGUGUUUCCGACUAUUUACCGAAUCUGACCAACUACGUUGGUUCACGCUCUGUCAGGGACCAUUUAACUCCAAAAAAAUUUUGGUUCCGAUUUCAUCUCCUAAUUUUCCAUCUGCAUCCUGGUCGGAUGCUGCAAUAGUCGGUCCUAACAUCUAUGCUAUUGGAGGGUUAGUAAAUAAGAAUUAUUCGUCUAGCGUCAUGGUCAUGGAUUGUUAUUCUCACACAUGGCGUGAGGCACCAAGUAUGCAUGUGGCCCGUUUGUCCCACUCUGUUUGUGUCCAUGAUGGGAAAAUAUAUGUAACAGGAGGUUGCAAAAAUCUUGAUUCAACGAAUUGGAUGGAGGUUUUUGAUACGCAGACCCAAACUUGGGAGUUUUUGCAGAUCCCUAGCGAGGAGAUAUUUGGAGGCUCAAAGUACAGAAGCGUAGAGUAUGAAGGAACUGUCUAUGUAAAGUCUGAGGCAAAGGAUGUGACUUACAAGCUGCAUAAAGGUAGAUGGCGAACAGCAGACAUAGCGAUAAAUAAAGGGUGGUGAUGUCCUUCAUUAUCCCAUUAUUGUGUGAUAGAGAACGUGUUCUACCGUUAUACUGAUAGAAGAAUCGAAUGGUAUGACUCCGAAAAAAGAUUAUGGACAACUUUGAAAGGUGUGGAAAAAUUGCGUAGUUUUUCUCGUGUAAACUUGGUGAAUUAUGGUGGGAAAAUGGCAGUUGUGUCGGUAGAGUAUGUGUUCGGUAAGAAGGAGGCAAAAAUUUGGUGGGCGGAAAUUGCGAUUGAAAAACGUCAAACGGGAGAGAUUUGGGGAAUGCUAGAGUGGCUUGACAUUGUGUUUAGAACCAAUGACAAGUCAUAUAGUUUAGAGCGUGCUCUUGCUACUACCAUUUGAUGGCUAUGAAUCAUGACUCAUAAUUGUGUAAACAUAAUGAAUCAUUCACCAACAUAUAUGAACCAAAGGACAAGUCAAAUUGUGUGUAUAAGAUUAUGUGCAUAUCGUAGAGAUUUAUGAAGCAAUUUAAUAGUAAUAUGACUAGAUUACACAAAAAUAAAGUAAUUGACUUUGUUUGCCUUUGCUAAUCUUUUGUUUUUCUCUUUGAAAUUAUCAGCAUUUCACAAGUUUUCUGAUUUCAACAAAUCUAACUAUCAUAGAAGGUUUCUGGUUAUGAAAUGAAUUAUUAAUUUAGGAAUCGAAUCCUUAUGAUGUUUCUCUUUAUCUCGAGACUUUUAAGUUGAGAACAUAUUGUGUAAUGAAUAGUGAGUCUACUCUUUAACACAAAAGCAUGAGCUUUUAAAUUAUUUGGUUAUUGGAUGUCUCUAGAUGCUGAUACAAACGAACGAACUGUAUUCAAAUACAUUAAAAUUAGUGUUGCUUUUAUGUGCAAUAAAAGAAUUAACUAUUAUUUGGAAAAGAAAAAAAAAUACAUUAACACUACAUGUAUGUGUAGGUAAACCGUAUCCCUACAGCUGAGAGUCUCCGACCGCUGUAGCGUAGGGGAGUCAUCUGCUAAAGUCGUUAAGUGAGCAUGUGUGAACCUACGAAAAAACCACUAGUACAUGGAGAAAAUCAAGAGCGUUGACUCUCGCAUAGUCAAUGUCCUGUAAAAUAUUAUGAAUCAUGGAUCUCCAACUCUGAUACACUAAAAUGAAUUGUGUCUUCGCGGCACCGUGCUUAGCGUUUAUAGAUCCGUAAGCUAAAGAAAAAAUAUAAUUUAUGGUAAUGAAAUAAAUUUUCAAUAAUAACUUAUAGUUAUAAUAUAAAAAUGUAGUUUAAUAUUUGAUAAUGUAUUACAAAAAGUUAUGCAAAAUAAUUUAUAAAAUAGUUAGUCACAAAAAUUGUACAAAACUAAAAAAGUCUUAUGUGAUUAACUAUGAUAUGCCUAAUGAUUUGUGCUAGUGCCAUUGUCGCAUGUCGUAAUUUUGUAAUCGGGUCUUUUGUCACCUCUCAUUUUUAAACCGGUAUAAUGCAUGCAUGUUAUUGAAGAAAAAAAAGUUGUAAUAUACAAAAUUUGUUAUUUAAUAUUAAAUUUGUAAUACACAUUUCAAAAGCCGGCUAAAACCGGCGAACCAUCAAAACCCCGGUUCUUCAAGUUUUUAGUCUUUCACCAUUGCUUUUUUGUGUUUUUUUACAGUAAAAUUAGUUUUCUAUCAUUUGCAUUGAUUUAUUUGAUCUAAAUAUUGUGUGAUAGAGAAUGUGUUCUAGAUUGUAAUUGUACAAUGAUCCAAUGGUAUGACUCCGAAAAGAGUUUAUGGACAACUUUGAAAAGUUUGGAAAAAUGGCCUAGUUUUUUUUUAUGUAAACUUGGUGAAUUAUGGUGGGAAAAUGACAGUUGUAUUGGUGGAGCAUAUGUUCGGUAAGAAGGUCACAAAAGUACAGUGUGCGAAAAUUGCGAUUGAAAAACGCCAAAAGAGAGAGAUUUGGGGAAUGGUAGAGUGGUUUGACAUUUGUGUUUACAACCAAUGGAGUCGUGCAUGCUCUUGCUACUACCAUUUGAAGGAUUCAUUCACCAACGUAAGGAAUAAAUCACUUUGUUUUUACUUUUUUUUAAAAAAAAUUAUUCAUUAAUUUUUGUCAUAUUUGAAAUUCUAGAAUUAAUCCAUAAAAUUUUCGAACUCAUUAACCAAGCCAAAUAAAUCCAUAAAAAAUUAAUUCUUCAAAAUUUAGAAACAAUGGAGGACCAAUGAAGAAAACCCAACGAACAAAGAGAUUUAAAACUAUAAUAUUAUUAUCAUUCCACUGGAAGUACAAACUCAUCACAUGGCAGAGUUGCUAGACAUCUAAAAGAUAUGAUCAAAACAAACACAAAAGACAAUGAUCGGCUAAAAGAUAAGCUGAAGCCAUUAUUACACAUAAACCAAACCUAAAAACACCAUCCUAUAUAUGGUUUACUUAUUGAAUAACUUAAUUAAUUAAAGAGACUCGAUUAUCUCUGCUUAUUUAAAAAGGCUUCUUCACUUGCAGGUGCAAGGAUCACACUUGCAGUCAGAUCCACACUUGCAAGCAUCGUUCUCAGCGUUGUUACUCUCCCCUGAAGCCUCGUACUGAUUCUUCAUCGCCGGUGCAACGCCCAAGACAAAAGUCUCAGUUGUGGUUGUCUCGCCGGAGAAUCCCAAGUCAGGGUACAUUUUGCAACUGCAACAAUCGAAAGAAAAAACCCAUCAGUAUCCUAUGAAAACAGAGAUCGUGUAAAUUCAAAAGAGUUGUAUCUUUUUACAAGAAAAAUCUCCAAGAAACCAUUCAUCAAAACAAGAUAUCAUCAUCGAUUCACAGUUGUUGCAUACUUGCAUGCAACGAUUUCACCGGAAAAUAUAAAUACAAACGAGACGUUGGAGACUUACCC